GAUAAAGUGACUGAAUUAAAGUGUUAAAUUGUAAAUUUAUUUAUGGAGUUAUUCUCCCUUUAUUA
Molecule: transfer RNA, 65 nt
Filed under: Halyzia sedecimguttata (orange ladybird)
Lineage: Eukaryota; Metazoa; Arthropoda; Insecta; Coleoptera; Coccinellidae
Description: tRNA-Tyr
Source: RNAcentral